RNAcentral lists this ribosomal RNA (257 nucleotides) under uncultured bacterium. RNAcentral describes it as "partial small subunit ribosomal RNA". It matches the Rfam family "Bacterial small subunit ribosomal RNA", at positions 26 to 285 of the family's 1533-position model. The record is from RNAcentral.
AGGACGAACGCUGGCGGCGUACUUAACACAUGCAAGUCGAGCGGUGAUCCUCCUUCGGGAGGUGAUCAGCGGCGAACGGGUGAGUAACACGUGGGCAACCUGCCCCUCACACUGGGAUAACCUCGGGAAACCGGGGCUAAUACCGGAUACGACCUCGAGCGGCAUCUCUUGAGGUGGAAAGCUCCGACGGUGAGGGAUGGGCCCGCGGCCUAUCAGCUUGUUGGUGGGGUAAUGGCCUACCAAGGCGACGACGGGUA